UAGACGCUGGCGGCGGCUUAACACAUGCAAGUCGAACGAAGUGUUGGUGCUUGCACUAACACUUAGUGGCGAACGGGUGAGUAAUACUUGGGAAUCUGCCUUGUAGCGGGGGAUAACGUUUCGAAAGGAACGCUAAUACCGCAUACGUCCUACGGGAGAAAGGAGGGGAUCUUCGGACCUUCCACUAUAAGAUGAGCCCAAGCGAGAUUAGCUAGUUGGUAAGGUAAAGGCUUACCAAGGCGACGAUCUCUAGCUGGUCUGAGAGGAUGAUCAGCCACACUGGGACUGAGACACGGCCCAGACUCCUACGGGAGGCAGCAGUGGGGAAUAUUGGACAAUGGGCGAAAGCCUGAUCCAGCCAUGCCGCGUGUGUGAAGAAGGCCUUCGGGUUGUAAAGCACUUUAAGCGAGGAGGAAUGGCUCUGGGUUAAUACCCUUGAGCAGUGACGUUACUCGCAGAAUAAGCACCGGCUAACUCUGUGCCAGCAGCCGCGGUAAUACAGAGGGUGCAGGCGUUAAUCGGAAUUACUGGGCGUAAAGCGCGCGUAGGCGGUUACGUAAGUUGGAGGUGAAAUCCCCGAGCUCAACUUGGGAAUUGCCUUCAAAACUGCGUGGCUAGAGUGUGGGAGAGGAAGGUAGAAUUCCAGGUGUAGCGGUGAAAUGCGUAGAUAUCUGGAGGAAUACCGAUGGCGAAGGCAGCCUUCUGGCCUAGCACUGACGCUGAGGUGCGAAAGCAUGGGGAGCAAACAGGAUUAGAUACCCUGGUAGUCCAUGCCGUAAACGAUGUCUACUAGCCGUUGGGGGACUUGAUCCUUUAGUGGCGCAGCU
Molecule: ribosomal RNA, 827 nt
Filed under: gamma proteobacterium MH135
Lineage: Bacteria; Pseudomonadati; Pseudomonadota; Gammaproteobacteria
Description: bacterial SSU rRNA
Rfam family: Bacterial small subunit ribosomal RNA
Source: RNAcentral